Molecule: ribosomal RNA, 465 nt
Filed under: uncultured bacterium
Lineage: Bacteria
Description: partial 16S ribosomal RNA
Rfam family: Bacterial small subunit ribosomal RNA
Source: RNAcentral
CCUACGGGAGGCAGCAGUAGGGAAUCUUCCACAAUGGGCGAAAGCCUGAUGGAGCAACGCCGCGUGGGUGAAGAAGGUCUUCGGAUCGUAAAACUCUGUUGUUAGAGAAGAAAGUGCGUGAGAGUAACUGUUCACGUUUCGACGGUAUCUAACCAGAAAGCCACGGCUAACUACGUGCCAGCAGCCGCGGUAAUACGUAGGUGGCAAGCGUUAUCCGGAUUUAUUGGGCGUAAAGGGAACGCAGGCGGUCUUUUAAGUCUGAUGUGAAAGCCUUCGGCUUAACCGGAGUAGUGCAUUGGAAACUGGGGGACUUGAGUGCAGAAGAGGAGAGUGGAACUCCAUGUGUAGCGGUGAAAUGCGUAGAUAUAUGGAAGAACACCAGUGGCGAAAGCGGCUGUCUGGGCUGUAACUGACGCUGAGGUUCGAAAGCGUGGGUAGCAAACAGGAUUAGAUACCCCUGUAGUC